ACCCCAAAAUUUUUAAUUUUUUAAUUGGACCACGUGUCCAGUUUGGAUUCGCCAAAGUGGCAUUAUCGGAAAGUUUUCCGAUAAAUAAGAUUUAGCAGGUCGGUUUUAGAAAAGAUAAUUUCGGAGAAAAUUUAUAUUAUAUUUCAAUUCUGAAGUUAGAAUUGGAAUAAAAAGGAAAAAUGUCAAGAAAAGUCCAAAAUGAAGUACAGGGAUCAAAGUGGUAAUUUAGCCACUUUAUGUCGAAAAUAGAAAUAUGGAAUUUUGACGGGAAAGUGUUAAAAUCAAGCUUUGUAUUAUUUAUAGUAUAUAAAUAAUACGUAUAAGUUAUAAUAGAAGAGUUAAUCGAUUUAGUUAUGGACUAAAUUGUACGAAAGAAAAGUUAGAAAGAUAAAUUGUAACAAGGAAGGAAAGGAAGGACUAAAACAGACGUUUAGCCAUGUAUAUAUAAGAGAAAACCUUUGAAUGAAGGAUGUAUCAGAGGUAAGAAUCCAGAAGCUUGAAGUUUUCCACCGAUUACUUCGUUUCUUCACGGUUUCUUCGUUCGACGUCCGAAUCAAGCGGUUUUCGCGUCGAUUUCUUCGAAAUUGAAAGCUCUAUCAUCUCCAAGCUUCAAAUCAAGACGUACGACCGAGCGGUGAGGGCACUAGGGGUGUACUAGCACGAGCAUAUUACCACAUCGACCAUAUUUGUGAUUGGAUUGCGGUCACUGUGCUUAGUUUCUGGACUUAGCUAGAGGCCAAUUUUGAAGUCCAGAAGUCAGCUGUAUAUGUUAGUCUCUGACUUCUGUGAGUGCUGCAGUAGUGGUCCUUUGUCGAUAGUAUUGUAGCCUAGACAGCAGUUCAUUUUGAUUGUAUAUAUUAACUGCUGUUAUUGUUUUAUAUGCAUUUUGAUAGGCUACGUGUUUAGUAUAUGAUCCACGGCCCCAGGUGCCGGUGAGAUGUUUGGAACACUAACUGAUGUAUAUAGUACCGCGAGGCCAGUUCGUACAGGGUACGGCAACUAGAGCC
Mercurialis annua (annual mercury) is the source of this 1007-nucleotide long non-coding RNA. RefSeq lists it as uncharacterized. The transcript is spliced from 3 exons. The record is from RefSeq and is a predicted model, not a curated record. Lineage: Eukaryota; Viridiplantae; Streptophyta; Magnoliopsida; Malpighiales; Euphorbiaceae.